AUAACAAAGAGCCUUCAUCAGCUCGUAAUUUGGAAGUCGGGUCGAGAGGAGAUGACACUGGAGCAAGAUCCAAAACAUCAAAUUCAGUGAGAACUUCCAAGAAUCAGUAGCAGGUUCAAUGGAAGUACCAUCUAUAAAGCCUGCUUUGUUCUUAGCAAUGAGGGCUAUCAGCAUGCCCCUUUUCCAACCUGCAAAGCUUUUGCCAUCAAAUGCAGAAUUAACAAGCAACAUCCCUGGGGAAUCAGAGGGUGAAAUGAAAUAUGCAUGGGAAGCAUUCACAACAUCAGUUGCUAUGCCUUGCCCAGCAGUUCCUGAAGCUUCAGUGAUUUCAGCCAUUUUGACUGAUGAACAGGAAUAAACAACAGAUUAAGCAAGGAAAUAGAGUAAAGAUAUAAAGAGAGUAAGAUCUUUUACUGAUCCUGCUCUGAUACCAUAUUAGGAAAUAAAUAAACUUGGACAAAAAUUGUAUAGAAAACUUGCUUUGUAUAUUUCUGUGUAUAUCAACAUUUGUACAGUGGUGUUUUUAUAGUAGUAAAAGAGCAUCUAAGAAAUAACAAACUAUCCACCAGUCACCUAA
This is a long non-coding RNA of Lycium barbarum (goji berry), 577 nucleotides long. RefSeq lists it as uncharacterized. The transcript has 2 exons. NCBI's taxonomy places the organism in Eukaryota, Viridiplantae, Streptophyta, Magnoliopsida, Solanales, Solanaceae. The record is from RefSeq and is a predicted model, not a curated record.